This 526-nucleotide ribosomal RNA is filed under the name uncultured bacterium. RNAcentral describes it as "partial 16S ribosomal RNA". It matches the Rfam family "Bacterial small subunit ribosomal RNA", at positions 355 to 895 of the family's 1533-position model. The record is from RNAcentral.
UGGGGAAUAUUGGACAAUGGGCGCAAGCCUGAUCCAGCCAUGCCGCGUGAGUGAUGAAGGCCUUAGGGUUGUAAAGCUCUUUCACCGGUGAAGAUAAUGACGGUAACCGGAGAAGAAGCCCCGGCUAACUUCGUGCCAGCAGCCGCGGUAAUACGAAGGGGGCUAGCGUUGUUCGGAAUUACUGGGCGUAAAGCGCACGUAGGCGGACAUUUAAGUCAGGGGUGAAAUCCCCGGGGCUCAACCUCGGAACUGCCUUUGAUACUGGGUGUCUUGAGUAUGGAAGAGGUAAGUGGAAUUGCGAGUGUAGAGGUGAAAUUCGUAGAUAUUCGCAGGAACACCAGUGGCGAAGGCGGCUUACUGGUCCAUUACUGACGCUGAGGUGCGAAAGCGUGGGGGAGCAAAACAGGAUUAGAUACCCUGGUAGUCCACGCCGUAAACGAUGAGUGCUAGCCGUCGGGCAGUUUACUGUUCGGUGGCGCAGCUAACGCAUUAAGCACUCCGCCUGGGGGAGUACGGUCGCAAGAUU